UGCCAACACUACAACCACAGCUGCCAACACAACAACCACAGGCGCACCAACAACAACCACAGCUGCUGUUGCUUCGACAACCACAAACUUUUUUCUUCUGGUGUUCAGUUCAGAUGAGAUCUUUGCCAGUAAUCUCUCAGACAACUCCUCAGUGGUUUUCAGUGAUCGGGCUACUAAAACAAAAAAUGAGAUUGAGCCCUUCUAUCGCAAAGCCUUUAAAAGUUUCAUUCAGCUUUUUGUGUUGAAAUUCACACGUGGUUCCAUCAUCACAGACUGCAGAAUGGAGUUUAGACUUACUGGUAACGAGACUGCACCCAAUGCUAAUUCAGUGAAAGAUGUUCUGGUGGCUGCAGUCAACAGCGGGAAUCUAAGUAUCAGG
Long non-coding RNA from Coregonus clupeaformis (lake whitefish), 379 nucleotides. RefSeq lists it as uncharacterized. NCBI's taxonomy places the organism in Eukaryota, Metazoa, Chordata, Actinopteri, Salmoniformes, Salmonidae. The record is from RefSeq and is a predicted model, not a curated record. The transcript is spliced from 3 exons.